AGAGUCUGAUCCCGGCUCAGAAUCAACGCUGGCGGCGCGCCUAACACAUGCAGGUCGAACGAGAAAGUGGAGCAAUCCAUGAGUAAAGUGGCGUACGGGUGAGUAACACGUGGAUUAUCUACCCUCUAGUGGGGAAUACCGCUGGGAAACCGGCAACAAUACCGCAUAAGCUCGAGAGAGGAAAGCAGCAAUGCGCUGGAGGAGGAGUCCGCGGUCGAUUAGUUAGUUGGCGGGGUAAAGGCCCACCAAGACUGUGAUCGAUAGCCGGCCUGAGAGGGCACACGGCCACACUGGCACUGAAACACGGGCCAGACUCCUACGGGAGGCAGCAGUGGGGAAUCUUGCACAAUGGGGGAAACCCUGAUGCAGCGACGCCGCGUGAGCGAUGAAGCCCCUCGGGGUGUAAAGCUCUUUCGGCAGGGAAGAUUAUGACGGUACCUGCAAAAGCAGCUGCGGCUAACUACGUGCCAGCAGCCGCGGUAAUACGUAGGCAGCAAGCGUUGUUCGGAGUUACUGGGCGUAAAGGGUGCCUAGGCGGCUUUUUAAGUUUGGUGUGAAAUCUCCCGGCUCAACUGGGAGGGUGCGCCGAAUACUGAGAGGCUAGAGUGUGUAGAGGAAAGUGGAAUUCCUGGUGUAGCGGUGAAAUGCGUAGAUAUCAGGAGGAACACCGGUGGUGUAAACGGCUUUCUGGACCAUAACUGACGCUGAGGCACGAAAGCGUGGGUAGCAAAUAGGAUUAGAUACCCUGGUAGUCCACGCCCUAAACGAUGCAUAUUUGGUGUGGGCCAUUCAUUUGGUCCGUGCCGGAGCUAACGCGUUAAAUAUGCCGCCUGGGGAGUACAGUCGCAAGGCUGAAACUCAAAGGAAUUGACGGGGGCCCGCACAAGCGGUGGAGCAUGUGGUUUAAUUCGACGCAACGCGAAGAACCUUACCUGGGCUCGAAAUGCUAUGGACCAGCUGGUGAAAGCCGGCCUUCCCGCAAGGGACUGUAGUAUAGGUGCUGCAUGGCUGUCGUCAGCUCGUGUCGUGAGAUGUUGGGUUAAGUCCCGCAACGAGCGCAACCCUUGUCCUGUGUUGCCAUCAUUCAGUUGGGAACUCGCAGGAGACCGCCAGGGAUAACCUGGAGGAAGGUGGGGAUGACGUCAAGUCCUCAUGGCCUUUAUGUCCAGGGCUACACACGUGCUACAAUGGACGGUACAAAGGGCUGCCAACCCGCAAGGGGGAGCCAAUCCC
This 1233-nucleotide ribosomal RNA is filed under the name metagenome. Its description in RNAcentral is "bacterial SSU rRNA". It matches the Rfam family "Bacterial small subunit ribosomal RNA", at positions 8 to 1275 of the family's 1533-position model. The record is from RNAcentral.